UUUUCAGUACUUAAGUUUUUAACAGGUACUCUUGUGAUUUAUAAUGACUGUGCCAUUAUAAACCAUUCAAAAUUCCAUAGAAAGGUGAAUGUAAUUUUUCAUUGUUUAAAAGUUAUUUUCAAUUUUCUGUAUUCCUGUAGCAUUAGAUCAUUUAGAGCAGGGGUUCCCAAUCCUACCAACCUGCAGAGUUCAGUUCUAACCCUGCUCCAGCUCACCUGUCUGGAAUUAUCAAGUGCAUCUGAAGAUCUGGUUCAGUUGUGCUUGAUCAGGGUUGGAGCUGAACUUUGAAGGAAGGUGGAUCUCCAGCAACAGGAUUGGGCACCUCUGAUUUAGAGUAUUUUAUACAAUAUGUAACAUCUGCCAGAAACUGCAGAAUUUAGGGGUCUGAAUUUGUGUCUGCUCCAGUAUUUCAUCCCUGUCUCUUUUUUUCCCCAGUACAUCUGCUUUACCUUUUUUUGCAUUUUCUAUAUGCCUUUUAGUCAAUUUUUCUCUCCCUCCUCCUUGAUUUACUUUUUUCCAGCACAAGGACUGCAGUGGUAUAUCUGGCUGGCUCAUGCAACUAGAGCUGCAUUCCUUUAUUGCAAAUGACAUGCUAUUUCCCUCCUGCCAACAGUCUACUGCAGGCCUCAGGCUUCAGUCCAGAAAAUCUGCCCUGGUCCGUCAUCAAACCUUCCAGCCCCCGGGAGCUUCUUGCCAAUCUAGAACUCACCUGACUGAGCUUCAAGCACAUGGAGUGACCCUGAGGUUGCAUAGAGAGCUGAGAUGUGAGGCGAAACAAAGCUCUCUGCUGCACGUUCCUCCAAGGCCAUAAAGUGAAAGCAUCUCACUGGACCUAAAGAGAAAUUCAUUUUGACACUGUUUUUAUAGAAAAGAAGCAGGAAAGCACAAAGCAGGAACCAACAAAACCCAAAUAUGAGUGCAUGACGGUAUUAAUUUGAAAGAAGUGCCAGUGAAGUUGACUAAUGCAACAUUUAAGAGGUCCUUAAUGCUUGAAUUUAUAAAAGCAUUAAAUCAUGUUAUCCCUCACUGUCUGGAUGACUAAAAUUAUCACAUGCCUCUCCAUUGCAGGUUCUGUCUAGCUUCAGGAUACACGGCUGAAUCUUAUGCCUUCUCCACUCUCAACUGAUCUUCACGUUAAUCCAAUUAUCACCUAUUAAUUCCUAUUACUUCUACUGCAAUGCUUCUGAUUUGCUAAAACAAACCUGUGGAUCUUUAAUCAGGAAAAAGCAGCAUUUUCAACCGUUUUGGUGUGAUUAUAAUGAAACUAUAAAUGUGCUGCAAACCUAAACCCCAUACAAUAAGGAGAUUAAUGAGUAAGCGAGGUGUACACCGGUUAUUUGAUUUUGAAAAUGAGCAGCAUAAUUUCAUCUUUUCAGUUAGGAAUAAUCUAUUAUUUAAUAACUUUUCGCCUCAUCCUUAAUUAAAAGACAUUCCUCAGCUUUAAGCCAUGGGAAGGUUUGGCUUUGGGAAACUAUCUCCCUUCAUCAUGGUAGGUAUUAACUCUGGGCUCAGCGUGCAGCUCAGCAUCUUUCGUUUGGCCAGCCAUCUCUAUUCUUCCAUUCUGGUGGACUGUGGCGUCACUGGUGGUGUGCUGCUGCAUAUUAUUAGCUGGUGGUGUUCUUGAUCCAUGUCAUUUUCAGCCUGUGCCAUUUCCUAUCGCUCACAGCUGCCUGCUCUGGCUAAUUAGUGACAGAGAUGGGAACAGGAACAGGAACAGGGAAGAGAGCUUCAGAGAAAAGGGUCUGCAAUAUCGUCCUUUCAUUUUCUCCGACACAAUUCCUGCUACUCUUUUUCCAGCCAUAAAGGCCAGACUGGAGGCUUCUUCUGGAAGGCACACACUCACAAGUGGGCACAGAUCUCAUUUACACUUGACAAACUGUAAUUCUGACAACGCAGUGUUUUUAAGAAAUUGGAGAGGAUGUUUUUAGUGCUUAAUUUGUGCCUCCAGAAUUGUAUCAGGAACCUAUUUUAAUGGAUCCCACUCCGACUCAUUUAAAAAAAAAAAAAUCUGUACAUAUGUAUGUUAGAUUAUUAAUUUUGUUAUUGUUAUUAUUAGCUUUGGCUAUGUUUGAAGUAUUUUUAGUGUGAACAAUAAUGACAGCUUAAAUUUAUAUAGGUUAUAGCUAAUUAAUUGUAUUUACACAUUCAUUAACCAUAAUACAGGUUUUCAGGAAAAAUAUUUUUAGUGCCUUAUCUGUACCAGAACCAGAUCCAUCUCCUCCAGAAUUGUCUCAGUAACUUUAAUUAAGGAUAAUUUCAUUUAAUGGAUCAUAAAAAAACCCUGUACUUAAGUAUGUUUUACAAUAAUAAUAAUUUUUAUUAUUAUUAUUUUAGCUGAUUGUCUAUUUUGGAUUUAAUGUUUGGGUGUGGGCAACUUGACAUUUUACAUUAUUUUGCUUAUUUUAAAUGUAAAUUUAUUUACAAACGCUCAACAUGUGCAAUGGAAAUUUUCAUCCUUGUCCAUCGUCUGCGCAAUUUAUAUUUUGACCAUUAAGUUAUGACCAAUAAAAUAUCUUUGCUGCAUGCA
This is a long non-coding RNA of Cyprinus carpio (common carp), 2527 nucleotides long. NCBI's taxonomy places the organism in Eukaryota, Metazoa, Chordata, Actinopteri, Cypriniformes, Cyprinidae. The record is from Ensembl.